Molecule: long non-coding RNA, 1273 nt
Organism: Syngnathus typhle (broad-nosed pipefish)
Lineage: Eukaryota; Metazoa; Chordata; Actinopteri; Syngnathiformes; Syngnathidae
Exons: 3
Source: RefSeq, a predicted model, not a curated record
GACCCUGUGUGUCAAAAACAAGUCCUUGUCAAUCAAGGGCAGGUUCGUCCCAUUCGUGCGCAGUAUGCUAUACGCUACCUGUAUGGUCCCAACACACGGUGGGGUGGCCAAAGAGGACAAGAGUCCCCCGCCCAUCAGGAGCGGCAGAAAGCUGCUUUGGUUCUGAGGGCAAGCACCAUGUGAGUCCUGACUCGGACGCGGUUGGUGGUAUGCCGGGAGAUUUUGGAAACGGUGCAAAAGUGAGUGCGCUUCAUCACCUUCACGUCACAUGACGACGGCGUGUCGUCGAGGUCCAGCUGCUUCCUGUAGAAAGGUCCUCUGGCCACACACAACGACAAAAAGUCCAACACAGGCCUCGGAAAUCACGGGCGGGAGGCUUAUUGACCUGUCGCCAUCCUGGAUGUGGUCUUGCUUCUGGCCCCGGACAGUGCCGCAGUAUUCCCCCGUGGGCAGGUAUACCUCCAUGGUCUGCGCCUCGCUGAUUAUCGUCAGGCGGCCGAUGGCGGCGACCCCGGCGAGGCCGCAGCUCAGCAUCAGGACGCAGGGUUCGCUCGUGUUGGCAUCCGCCCUCUCCAACAGGACACCGUCGCCCCUGAGACGCAGUUUAAUAGAUAGCUGUGAAGCUCCUGAAGUAUGCAGACGACACCACUCUCAUCGGACUGAUCCAGGACGGUGAUGAGACUGCGUACAGACAGGAGGUGGAGCGGCUGGUCCACUGGUGCAGCCAAAACCACCUGGAGCUGAACCCGUUCAAGACCGUGGAGAUGACAGUGGACUUCAGACACCUUCAAGUUCCUGGGAACCACAGUCUCUCGGGACCUGAAAUGGACCGGCCACAUAGACUCUGUCCGGAAGAAGGCCCAUCAGAGGCUGUACUUCCUGAGACAGCUCAAGAAGUUCAACCUCCCGCGAGAGCUGCUGAAGACCUUCUACACUGCCAUCAUCCAGUCUGUCCUCUGCACCGCCAUCACUGUCUGGUUUGGAUCGGCCUCCAAACAAGACAAGCACAGACUGCAACGGACAAUCAGGACUGCAGAAAAGAUCAUUGGAAUCAACCUCCCAUCUAUCCAAGACUUGUACCUGUCCAGGACCAGGAAACGUGCAAGGAACAUCUCUACAGACCCUUCUCACCCAGGUUGCAGUCUGUUUGAACUACUCUUCUUCGGACGGCGUUAUAGAGCUCUGUACGCCAAAACCAGCAGACACAGAGACAGCUUCUUCCCCCAGGCUGUUGCUCUGAUGAAUUCACACCACUCUUGGAGUCUCAGAGUCA